AUUCCAUAGCCAUUUUGGCAUUCUGUCCACCUCCACUAAUAUUAAAUGGUGACAGUUGGAGGUGGCCAGUAGGCCAAACGGGCUCUGUGAA
Non-coding RNA from Glycine soja, 91 nucleotides. The record is from Rfam. Lineage: Eukaryota; Viridiplantae; Streptophyta; Magnoliopsida; Fabales; Fabaceae.